RNAcentral lists this unclassified non-coding RNA (7037 nucleotides) under Neodiprion pinetum (white pine sawfly). RNAcentral's name for it is "potassium voltage-gated channel protein Shal, transcript variant X8". The stretch from base 2938 to 3051 matches the Rfam family "Potassium channel RNA editing signal". Lineage: Eukaryota; Metazoa; Arthropoda; Insecta; Hymenoptera; Diprionidae. The record is from RNAcentral.
UAGCGUCGCCUGGCUCGCGCGCGCUUCUGGAGCUCUCGUGAGAGCCAAGCUGAGCCAAGCUGAGCUGAGCUGAGCUGAGCUGAGCUGAGCUGAGCCGAACCGAGUCGAGCCGAGCUCUUCGGUUAGUCGCGAGUCGCCAACUCGUUGUACGGUCGCGUCAAACUUAGCCGGGGAUUCCGUGUCGUCCCUGAAGACGUUAUCCCGACGUAGUGCUACCCAAGAACUACACUUAGACGUUGUUGUUGUUGUUUCAUUCGAGGAAAGUGCUGCAGGGAGAAGAGCUACCAAAAAGAAGAAGAAGAAGAAGAAGAAGAAGAAGACAAAGACGAAGAAGAAGAAACAGUGUCUGGGACGAUGCGCGCGAGAACUGGAGGAAGGUCCGGUGUUCUAUCGUCGAAGGUCGUCCUCGAAGUGAUAAGGAUAUACGUGGAGGCAACUUGUCAGUUGCAGCUAGUUUGCCCGCUGCGAAGGACCGACUGAGUCUGCACCAUCGACGGGGAAUAGGGUGAAUUCGCUGAUUAAGGAACCCAUUAGUUACGGAAGAACGGAAGAAAGAAAGCUGAGGUGGUCGCAUAACGGACCUGCAAGACUUUAUAAUGUAGGAAGAGAGUUUGCCUACGGUAGAUGUUUUAUGUGGUGUUGAACGUUCUUCUCCACCUAGACACUGUGCGCGCGAGUUUUGAGCGACGGCUACAGCAGAUGCCCCGAUUCGUACAAUAAUUAUUACACUUUACUAUUAUACUUAUCCAGUAAAGGACUACCUAUUCACGGAAGGGAUUCGUGGCCAAACAACAACCACGCUCGGUUUAGCUGCUUACACCGUUGCUCUAUCGAUUGAAUUCCGGCGCGCCAAAAAAGAGAGGAUGUUAAACUGAUGAUGAUGACGAGGAUCGAGGAUUAGUGAGGUGGUGGCUCGUUAAUCGACGGUUAUCGUCACACCACCACAACAUGUGGGAUCCUUUGAUUACCGGUGUGCUCUGAUAAUAAAAAAAAAAAAUAAAGAAAUAAAACAGAAGAUGAGAGCAAACCCUGCUUUCGAUUAAUCAGCGAUAAAGUGGUGCUUAUGGUGUGAAAACCCAACUGCCGAUAUAUACAGUCCUUUGACAUUAUUCACUUUCGUUUCUAGUAUUUAUGUUUUUUCAAAACACGAGCUGCUUUUCUAACUUCUAAUCAAUUUGCCUCGGUUGAAUUGAUCGAAGCUCCGUAUAAAGCAAUCGCACAGGAGCAAUAUACAAAGACACACUGCCCCAAUAAGAUUUUUUAUCAGUAAUAAUAACGAUAAUAAUACCAGUAAUAUUAAUAAUAAAAAGUUUAAAUCACAACGCUGCAGAGAGAUUAUUCCGCAAAACCGUGAGAGAUGUAGUUCGUCGUGAUAGCUACGCGGAAAUGCCCGUUUAUGAGGAUUGCCUGGGUUUUGAGGUGUCACUGAUCAUCGGUGGCGUCAUUACCACCUCGACGCGCUGUGAUUUUGUUCUGGAUACAAUAUACACCCGAAUGGAUAGAAGCUAGUGCUCGUCCUGGAGUCAGACUUACACGUAGCGUAAGGUACAGGAACGCCUAUACUGCAUACGUACACGUAAUAGGCUUGCGGAAUUGUUGUUCGUGCGGUAUGUUCUGCUGAGCAACGGUGGUGCGACCCACGUGUGUGUUUCAACGAUCCUCUCCGAUAUGUCUGGGGCAACGUCAACGUCGUACACGUCGCCGGGCUCUUCGUCCGGGAAAUUUUCGGGCCGGCUUCUGCAGUCCAGCGACCAGGUCUGGUAAUUCCCGACCGGCUGAGUUAAGGGUGAAACGGGCCGUGGGGGUGAAGGAGGUUCGAGGAUCGCGAUGGCAUCGGUCGCCGCCUGGUUGCCGUUCGCUCGAGCAGCGGCCAUAGGAUGGGUGCCGAUCGCUACGCACCCCUUACCGCCUCCGCCGAUACCGAAAGACCGGCGAAAAGCAGACGACGAAAAGCUCCUGAUAAAUGUGAGCGGCCGACGGUUCGAGACCUGGCGUAACACCCUAGAGAAAUAUCCCGACACCCUGCUCGGUUCUAACGAGCGGGAGUUCUUCUACGACGAGGACACCAAGGAGUACUUCUUCGACCGUGAUCCGGACAUAUUCCGGCAUAUAUUGAACUACUACAGGACCGGCAAGCUCCAUUAUCCCAAGCACGAGUGUCUCACAAGCUACGACGAGGAGUUGGCGUUCUUUGGUAUCCUGCCGGACGUUAUCGGCGAUUGUUGCUACGAGGAUUACAGGGACCGUAAAAGAGAGAACGCCGAACGACUGAUGGACGAUAAACUGAGCGAGAACGGUGACCAAAAUCUUCAACAGUUGACGAACCUACGGCAAAAAAUGUGGCGGGCUUUUGAAAAUCCGCAUACAUCAACGGCUGCGCUUGUGUUUUACUAUGUGACGGGAUUCUUCAUAGCCGUCAGCGUGAUGGCGAACGUUGUUGAGACCGUACCUUGCGGACACAGACCCGGGCGUGCCGGUACCUUGCCCUGUGGUGAACGGUACAAGAUAGUUUUCUUCUGCCUGGACACUGCUUGCGUAAUGAUAUUCACCGCCGAGUAUCUUUUGAGGCUUUUCGCGGCACCGGAUCGGUGCAAAUUCGUUAGGUCCGUGAUGUCGAUAAUCGACGUUGUCGCUAUACUGCCGUACUACAUUGGACUCGGUAUAACCGACAACGAUGACGUCUCAGGGGCGUUCGUUACCCUCCGUGUCUUCAGGGUGUUCAGAAUCUUCAAGUUCUCCCGUCACUCCCAGGGGCUACGGAUCCUGGGCUACACUCUUAAAUCCUGUGCCUCUGAACUCGGGUUUUUGGUGUUCUCGUUGGCUAUGGCCAUCAUCAUAUUCGCUACCGUUAUGUUCUACGCCGAGAAAAAUGUCGAGGGUACAAACUUCACAUCGAUUCCAGCCGCCUUCUGGUACACCAUUGUCACCAUGACGACCCUAGGGUACGGUGACAUGGUACCGGAAACGAUCGCUGGAAAAAUCGUCGGAGGCGUGUGUUCUCUCAGCGGAGUUUUGGUCAUAGCCUUGCCAGUGCCGGUUAUCGUCAGCAACUUCAGUCGCAUUUAUCACCAGAAUCAGCGUGCUGACAAGAGGAAAGCGCAGAGGAAAGCUAGAUUGGCCAGGAUUCGCAUCGCCAAAGCCUCCAGCGGAGCGGCAUUUGUCAGCAAGAAGAAAGCCGCUGAGGCUCGUCUCGCCGCCCAGGAAAGCGGACUCGAUCUUGAAGACAACUACAGGGAGGAGGACAUCUUCGAACUACAGCAUCAUCAUCUGUUACGCUGCCUGGAAAAAACUACGGAUCGCGAGUUCGUGGAGAUGGAGGUGCCAUUCAACGGAGCCCCGAAGAGGCCCGGAUCUCCGUCCCCGCUGACGUCGCCAGCUCACAGUACGGCGUCACGUGGAGGGCUGCUGCGUUCCUGCUGCGGCAGGUGUUACCCUCAGCGAUAUCAGGAUCGACGCGUGUCACCCGAGGAUGGAAGGAAGGAACGUCGCGUAAGUAAAUGUCGACACGCGAUCUGCAACAGAUGAUCACGAUGUGUGUACUCACAGUGUCAUGUUGUUCUUGUGAAAAAGCCACCUUCCCAGUAAGCCAUACGUGUUGCAUAUCGUACGUUGUACUCAAUGCGAGGCAAAGUAAUAAUAAUAAAUUAUAAAGUAGCGCUAGUAUCCAAGUAUCAUUCCUCAUUCUCGGUGUGCAGACAAACAUUAAAGUGUAUACAAUGACCAGAAACCUUCAGGCACUGUCUUUGGUCCAACUGUUGCUGUACACUCCACUGUAUACGUCUGUGUUCACAGUUCCUUUACGUACAUCGACAGAGAUCUAAUAUUUAUCAUAUUACUUCUAUAAUUACUAAAAUCGACCGAGGGCUUAGCGCACCCUCGAGAUACCCAGGUGAGAUAAGAAACUGUAUCUAUCUUAACGGGCAGUUAUCGAAGUCCUAAGCAUUAACCCAAAAUUAGCACCUCGUUCCUGGUGAUAAUUUAUAUUGGGACACAUUAUACACCCUAAAUUCCGUAGGAUAUUCGAUAACUGUUGAAUUGGAUCAUCCGCGUUAUUUGCGCAACAACACUUCGCCAGUCAAAAUUUACACGUGACAUUAUCUACACACUGUUUAUUCCCCGGGAUUGUUUCACGGCAAUCCUUACAGGAUUACUCUAACCCGUUUUGCAAUCCUUCGAGUCCACUCUGUGACCCGGAAUUCUGGGCAUUGAAAUCCUCUCUUCAAACUUGUGCCCAUCCUACCGCACCACUGAUUUCUAUCGAGUUAUAGGCGGCUCCCUCCCGGGGGCUUAUUUAAAGUAGGCCAUCGCCUCUAUCUUCGAAUCGUACAACUUCGGGUCACCAGUGAUAAAAAGUGACUGGCAACGCGUUCUGCGCCCGGUGAUGUAAGCUGAUACGUGUGGUCGUCACAGGUGAGUAUGUUCGUAAAGCUAAUUACAUUCUCGAGUACGAGGCGUGCUGCUGCAGCUGUGGCUUUGAUAACAAUUAUUGUUAAUGUUGACAGGGGUGACCAAGGAUCGGGAAAGCUAAACGAUUUGUUUACGGGUGAGUUCAGGUAAACUCGCAGACUGGCCUUUCUAUGUUUGUCUAGUUUCCCGUCCUCAGCAGUCAAACUUUACCGUCACCUGUGACCUCGUCACAAUGGAGGCGCAACCACUCGGAAUGUAGAAAAUUAACACCGCUGGUUGUGAGUAAUAUCGUGCAGAACGCUAAAACGUUCGGUCCGGUGCACAAUGCUCGUUGUGGAGCCGGAUUUAUCGUUGACCGUACCUCGAAGUUUCACGUCAUAGUCCAUCGGCACGGUGCUUCAGACUCAAUCGGAGUCUCUUCUGUGUUAACUUCUCUGUGCUUUGGCGUAACUCAAAAGCCAAUUUUGGCGGUUAAAUAGGGUGAAGUCUGAUCUGACAUGCCGGUUCCGUCAUUCGACAAAGCGUAUGGGUUCCGUUAUUUCAGAAACGUGAGGACGACGCGCCAAUUACACAGUCAAGAACGGAGAAACAUCUUCAUCGGGUCCGACGUUAAUUGCCAUCUGUGCGAUGGACAAAGAGACUCGGCGAGAAAAACGAGGAGUAUCUCUUUAGACGUGGAUGCGAAUGAAAUCGAUAUAGCAGGAGGGAUAAUGGGAUCACCGGUCAUUCUUUACCGUCAGAUGAGACAGUCCCAUAUAAUCCUCUCCUUUCAGCUAUUGUCGUUGUGAUGUCAUUGGUGAUGCGUUACUAUCACCAUUCGAUGGUCGUCAGAACGGAAUGGACUUGAAACGUUUCCACGAUAAAGACGGAUCUGCGGGGAAUUUGCGAAUUGUCAUAUUAAUUGUAGUUGACUUAGUGCAUUCCGGACACUAUAAUACCAACGAAUAAAAGAUGAGAUCCGCCUCGUGGUCUUUUUUACCUUUGCAUCCGUCGAUAAGGACCGGGUGGACAUAAAGUCUGCUGCUCGGUUCGCCAUCGGUCCUUUCAGUCCCAAUUGAAUUAAGUAGGAAAUCAUAUCUCGCCAUCCUCCCUCCCGAACAACGUGCGCACGGUACUUCAACGCGCGGCCAUCAAAUUCUGUUUCCUAACCUAGGUAAUAAUACUGGAGCCCCGUGAAGGGGAUAAAGAAGUAUCAACUUCUUUCACUUCUUCGAACAUUCCACCCCACUUUCAUCAUUUACCACUGUCUGAGCUCCUCACGACAGAAAGAUUAUGUAGUGUAGGUCUAGGCGUAGCAUUUAGGCGCAGCGAGUUUUUUGGGGGGUGGAAAUCGGGCCGAGUUAUGGUGGAUCGAGGAGAAUGAUUACCGGGAAGAAACGGUGAAAGUUAGUAGAUUGAACGUCAGACUGCGCAUGCGCGAGCUUUAUCGGAUUUUCAUGCAGGCUGGCCACCUCAAGCUUCUGCUGUCACAAUUGACUUACGAAGAUUGUGUGCAGGUUGAUUCGAACUUUUUGCUCGGUUAAGUAGAUCUCUCAUGCUUCAUGUAGCUAUUCCGAAAGUCUUGGGAAACUUUUAUUGUUAACCGAAUUACGGCUGAUGGCCAAGUACGAGUCACUAGAACAACAUAAUUUCAACUCACCACUUAACGCGGGAGAUUUUCACAUUUCGUACCACUUUUUGAGUAAGUUGGCACUCCUGCCUUGCACACUCGGUAAAAACAUUGCCGCGAUACGAUCUUACCCGCAAAUAGAUCUAAUCAUUUUUCGUAUGCACGGUCAGUCACUCAACCCGCUAUGUUUCACCGUAUGUACAGUAGAGAGCGAAUGACGAGUCGAGAGUGAGAGACAGAGAGAGAGAGAGAGAGAGAGAGAGUGUGCGAAAGGGCGAGGAAGGUAGUGUGCGAAUGGGGGGAUGAACGUGGUGGGAAAUAUGGAAUGCGAGAGAAAGAGGAGAACCGACGAAGCUCUAGCGGCCGACAAUGUAGCGUGUGCUUUGGGUGUGGAUUUCAGCAGGCGUACAGUCAGUACAUCCCGGCGACUAGGGCCCAGGUUUCGGGCGGCCCAGGCGGCGGGCAGACGGGGGUCGCCAUGGACGGCACGUAUCUGGUCGAGGCCUCGUUUUGAACGAGGAGAGCGCUUCUCGUAGACACGUCUUCCUCGUAAAUCCCACCGCCUAAGAGAAAAGAAAAGAAUGACGAAAAGACGGAAAGAAUUUGAAAACAAAAAAAAAAAUAAUAACAAAUGAAAAGAAAUAAACUACAGGAACACGUACAAACAUUAUACGUUUUAAGAAACAUCAUGCACUCACAGAUCAACGAAUACACCCGAGUCACACAUUAUACACGCACACACGUACGCACAUUCGAAUAAAACAAAAAAAAAAAUAACGACACCAAAAAAUCAUGCAUACAUACAUACAUUAUACAUGUAUACGUAUAACGAAAAAUAAAAAUGAAGAUACGAUUAAAAAUUUCAUUAAAUAAGGAAAACCGAGAGACCGGAUGUGCGGAGACACGCAGACGUUGCAUAACGUAAUAAAUUUAGAACAUUGCAACGAGACAACAAAAAAAAAACAAACAAACAAACACACAACAUUCAAACGAACGACAAACUCUGAAUGCUCGAUACAGA